Molecule: ribosomal RNA, 661 nt
Filed under: uncultured bacterium
Lineage: Bacteria
Description: bacterial SSU rRNA
Rfam family: Bacterial small subunit ribosomal RNA
Source: RNAcentral
GGGAAUAAUCACUGGAAACGGUGACUAAUACCGCAUAAUAUUCUUGGAAGGCAUCUUCCGAGAAGGAAAGGAAAUAUUCGGUAAAAGAUGGGCCCGCAUCUGAUUAGCUAGUUGGUGAGAUAACAGCCCACCAAGGCGACGAUCAGUAGCCGACCUGAGAGGGUGACCGGCCACAUUGGGACUGAGACACGGCCCAAACUCCUACGGGAGGCAGCAGUGGGGAAUAUUGCACAAUGGGGGGAACCCUGAUGCAGCAACGCCGCGUGAAGGAAGACGGUUUUCGGAUUGUAAACUUCUAUCAAUAGGGAAGAAAGAAAUGACGGUACCUAAAUAAGAAGCCCCGGCUAACUACGUGCCAGCAGCCGCGGUAAUACGUAGGGGGCAAGCGUUAUCCGGAAUUACUGGGUGUAAAGGGAGAGUAGGCGGCAAGGUAAGCGAUAUGUGAAAGCCUUAGGCUUAACCUGAGGAUUGCAUAACGAACUAUCUAGCUAGAGUACAGGAGAGGAAAGCGGAAUUCCUAGUGUAGCGGUGAAAUGCGUAGAUAUUAGGAAGAACACCAGUGGCGAAGGCGGCUUUCUGGACUGAAACUGACGCUGAGGCUCGAAAGCGUGGGGAGCGAACAGGAUUAGAUACCCUGGUAGUCCACGCUGUAAACGAAGAG